GAGUUUGAUCCUGGCUCAGGAUUAACGCUGGCGGCGUGCCUAACACAUGCAAGUCGAGCGAGAAGUCGGAAGUGAAACUUCGGUGAAACGGAAGAUGGAAAGCGGCAGACGGGUGAGUAACGCGUGAAUAAUCAACCCUGCACAAAGGGAUAGCCUCGGGAAACCGGGAUUAAUACCAUAUGAAGUAUAUUAAUCGAAUGAUAGAUAUAUUAAAGUUUUUAACGGUGCAGGACGAGUUCGCGUCCCAUUAGCUAGUUGGUGAGAUAAAAGCUCACCAAGGCGACGAUGGGUAGCCGGCCUGAGAGGGUGAACGGCCACACUGGAACUGAGACACGGUCCAGACUCCUACGGGAGGCAGCAGCUAAGAAUCUUCCGCAAUGGGCGAAAGCCUGACGGAGCGACGCCGCGUGAACGAAGAAGGCCGAGAGGUUGUAAAGUUCUUUUCUUGAGGAAGAAUAAGGCAGGGAGGCAAUGCCCUGGUGAUGACGCUACUUGAGGAAUAAGCCCCGGCUAAUUACGUGCCAGCAGCCGCGGUAA
RNAcentral lists this ribosomal RNA (537 nucleotides) under uncultured Bacillota bacterium. RNAcentral describes it as "bacterial SSU rRNA". It matches the Rfam family "Bacterial small subunit ribosomal RNA", at positions 9 to 523 of the family's 1533-position model. Lineage: Bacteria; Bacillati; Bacillota. The record is from RNAcentral.